This 693-nucleotide long non-coding RNA is filed under the name Gossypium raimondii (Peruvian cotton). RNAcentral's name for it is "long non-coding RNA (GRAI_LNC001725)". The record is from RNAcentral. Lineage: Eukaryota; Viridiplantae; Streptophyta; Magnoliopsida; Malvales; Malvaceae.
GAUAAUUUAAUAAUUCAAACUCAUUCUCAUAUAACCAUAAAUUUACCUGCUAUCGAAGAAACCAUAAACUAAUGAGACAAUUAGGUUGCCCUUUUAUUAAAUGGUACAAUUACAAUUCGGGAUUUUUACAAAAAUAUUACAAAAAAAUAAAAAAUAACCAAAAUAUUAUAUUUUUUUAAUUACGAAAAUAAUACAAAAGAAAAAACAAAAAUCAGAAAAAAAAAACAAAAAAAAAGGCUGCAGGUGAUGUGACAAUACCUUGGUGGAGGGUAUCCCAUAGGCGGCACCGAUGGGCCGGUGGGUGGGGGGAAAGGAAGGAGAGGGAAAGAAGAAGAAAGAAAGAAAGAAAGAAAAAGAAAGAAAAGGAAAGGAGAGGAAAGAAAGAAAAAGAAGGAAAGAAAAGGAAAGGAGAAAAAGAAAGAAAGAAAGAAAAAGAAGGAAAGAAAAGGAAAGGAGAAGAGAAAAAAAAAAAGAAGAAGAAGAGGGGAGGAAGGAAAAAGAAAGAAAGAAAGGUAAUUUUUUAUUUUUAAUUUUAAUUUUUUGUAAUAUUUGUGUGUAAAAAAAUUAUGUUAUGUACAUUAUACGUGUUUUAUUAUGUUAUUUAGCAUAUAAAUUUUAUGAAAUUUAUUUAGCAUGAAAAAAUUCAUGUUAUAUAAAUUGUAUGUUGAUUAGGAAUUUUUUUUAUGAAAUUUA